Mesocricetus auratus (golden hamster) is the source of this 402-nucleotide non-coding RNA. The record is from the annotation of a RefSeq genome assembly. Lineage: Eukaryota; Metazoa; Chordata; Mammalia; Rodentia; Cricetidae.
UCAGUGUACUCUCCACAGUCACUGAGCACACAGGUCCUCACCAUGGAAUGUAGCUGGAUCAUCUUUCUCAUGUCAGUAAUUACAGGUGUCCACUCCCAGGUCCAGCUGCAGCAGUCUGGGGCUGAACUGCUGAGGCCUGGGUCCUCAGUGAAGUUGUCCUGUAAGGCUUCUGGCUACACAUUCACAGACUAUGUUAUGAACUGGGUGAAGCAGAAGCCUGGAGAGGGACUGGAAUGGAUUGGAUGGAUUUAUACUUGGAAUGAUGUUACUGACUACAACCAGAAGUACAAGGGAAAGGCCAAACUGACGGUAGACAAACCCACCAGCACAGUCUACAUGGAACUCAGCAGCCUGACAUCUGAGGACUCUGCAGUCUAUUAUUGUGCAAGAUACACAGUGUAG